This 1375-nucleotide ribosomal RNA is filed under the name uncultured bacterium. RNAcentral describes it as "16S ribosomal RNA". It matches the Rfam family "Bacterial small subunit ribosomal RNA". The record is from RNAcentral.
GAGUUUGAUCCUGGCUCAGGACGAACGCUGGCGGCGUGCUUAACACAUGCAAGUCGAACGGAAAGGCCCCGCUCGCGGGGUACUCGAGUGGCGAACGGGUGAGUAACACGUGGGUGAUCUGCCCUGCACUUCGGGAUAAGCCUGGGAAACUGGGUCUAAUACCGGAUAUGACCUCCCUUUAGUGUGGGGGGUGGAAAGAUUUAUCGGUGCAGGAUGAGCCCGCGGCCUAUCAGCUUGUUGGUGGGUAAUGGCCUACCAAGGCGUCGACGGGUAGCCGGCCUGAGAGGGUGGACGGCCACAUUGGGACUGAGAUACGGCCCAGACUCCUACGGGAGGCAGCAGUGGGGAAUAUUGCACAAUGGGCGGAAGCCUGAUGCAGCGACGCCGCGUGGGGGAUGACGGCCUUCGGGUUGUAAACCUCUUUCGACAGGGACGAAGUGAAAAUGACGGUACCUGUAUAAGAAGCACCGGCUAACUACGUGCCAGCAGCCGCGGUAAUACGUAGGGUGCGAGCGUUGUCCGGAAUUACUGGGCGUAAAGAGCUCGUAGGUGGUUUGUCACGUCGUCUGUGAAAUUCCGGGGCUUAACCUCGGGCGUGCAGGCGAUACGGGCAAUACUUGAGUGCUGUAGGGAGACUGGAAUUCCUGGUGUAGCGGUGAAAUGCGCAGAUAUCAGGAGGAACACCAAUGGCGAAGGCAGGUCUCUGGGCAGUUACUGACCGCUGAGGAGCGAAAGCAUGGGUAGCGAACAGGAUUAGAUACCCUGGUAGUCCAUGCCGUAAACGGUGGGCGCUAGGUGUAGGGGACUUCCACGUUCUCUGUGCCGUAGCUAACGCAUUAAGCGCCCCGCCUGGGGAGUACGGCCGCGAGGCUAAAACUCAAAGGAAUUGACGGGGGCCCGCACAAGCGGCGGAGCAUGUGGAUUAAUUCGAUGCAACGCGAAGAACCUUACCUGGGCUUGACAUACACCGGACCGGCGUAGAGAUACGUCUUCCCUUGUGGCCGGUGUACAGGUGGUGCAUGGUUGUCGUCAGCUCGUGUCGUGAGAUGUUGGGUUAAGUCCCGCAACGAGCGCAACCCUUGUCUUAUGUUGCCAGCACGUGAUGGUGGGGACUCAUGAGAGACUGCCGGGGUCAACUCGGAGGAAGGUGGGGAUGACGUCAAAUCAUCAUGCCCCUUAUGUCCAGGGCUUCACACAUGCUACAAUGGUCGGUACAGCAGGUCGCGAACUCGUGAGAGUAAGCCAAUCCUUCAAAGCCGGCCUCAGUUCGGAUUGGGGUCCGCAACUCGACCCCAUGAAGUCGGAGUCGCUAGUAAUCGCAGAUCAGCAACGCUGCGGAGAAUACGUUCGCCGGGCCUGUACACACCGCCCGUCA